This 376-nucleotide unclassified non-coding RNA is filed under the name soil metagenome. RNAcentral's name for it is "partial contains 5.8S ribosomal RNA, internal transcribed spacer 2, and large subunit ribosomal RNA". The stretch from base 1 to 120 matches the Rfam family "5.8S ribosomal RNA", at positions 35 to 154 of the family's 154-position model. The record is from RNAcentral.
GAUGAAGAACGUAGCGAAAUGAGAUAAGUAAUGUGAAUUGCAGAAUUCAGUGAAUCAUCGAAUCUUUGAACGCAUCUUGCGCUCCUUGGUAUUCUGAGGAGCAUGCCUGUUUGAGUGUCAUUAAAUUCUCAACUACACUGACUUUGAAUUGGUGUGGCUUGGAUUUGGGGGGAAAAUUGUUGUGGGCUUUUUGUAUAGUCUGCUCCCCUGAAAUUGAUUAGCGGUACCUUUGUGGAACUGUCUACAGGUGUGAUAAUUAUCUACAUCUUAGACAUCUGCUGGAAUGCUGCUUUCUAAACCUUACUUGUAUUGACAAUCUUGACCUCAAAUCAGGCAGGACUACCCGCUGAACUUAAGCAUAUCAAUAAGCGGAGGA